This 243-nucleotide ribosomal RNA is filed under the name uncultured bacterium. Its description in RNAcentral is "partial 16S ribosomal RNA". It matches the Rfam family "Bacterial small subunit ribosomal RNA", at positions 534 to 776 of the family's 1533-position model. The record is from RNAcentral.
GCUAGCGUUGUCCGGAAUCAUUGGGCGUAAAGCGCGUGUAGGCGGCUUGGCAAGUCGGAUGUGAAAGCCCACGGCUCAACCGUGGAAGCGCAUCCGAAACUGCUUCGCUCGAGUCUCGGAGAGGAAGGUGGAAUGCUUGGUGUAGAGGUGAAAUUCGUAGAUAUCAAGCAGAACACCUGCGGCGAAGGCGGCCUUCUGGACGAUGACUGACGCUGAGACGCGAAAGCGGGGGGAGCAAACAGG